CAGACGCACGUCCACGAGCUUUGGACGCAGCAGCGCAGGCGGACGCUGUGAGAAGAUGCGACAGACUGUGACUCUCCGUCAGCUCGACGGCUCCCUCUCGUGGUGCGAAAGGGCAGAGCCGCCGCAAAGGGCCCGCUUUCAAACUCUGCCUCUCUCUGCUGGAUGUCAUGAGGUACUAACAGAGUAACACCGACAGCCGAGACGAUUACACUUGAUGGCGUGCAAGUGAACAGCAGCGGCGUUGCAUGAUGUGGUGAGACAAGUCACUCUCAGAUCAACCCGAGUGUGUGUCUGCAAGUGUUUAUUGUGGCGAGAUAUUACAGAAACAUCCCUUUAUCAGAAUGUUACGUUUGUGUGAGGGUGAAGUCGUGCUCAUGCUCUCAUGCAAAUGUGUAGAGUCCAGAUCAAGCAGUGGUGGAAGAAGUAGAAGUAAGAAUACAUAUAUAUAUAUAUGUAUAUAUAUAUAUAUAU
Long non-coding RNA from Gasterosteus aculeatus aculeatus (three-spined stickleback), 471 nucleotides. Lineage: Eukaryota; Metazoa; Chordata; Actinopteri; Perciformes; Gasterosteidae. The record is from Ensembl.